UACUUCGGAUUGGACAUGUAGCUCCCCGCGGUUCUGCUCGCUGCCAGAGGAAACUCUCUCUGAAGGUGCUUUAGCGUCGAAAGUCCUCCACUUUGUUCCGCCUUGACAUCUGCCACAGUGGCUGGCAUGUUGUCCAUUAAAGCUCACUCGCUGGCCUAAGAUCGACUUCGCCCCUGCGCGCGCACAUCUUGUUGGAGGAAGUUCUGCAAAGCGCUUCGCCGGAUCAAACCUCGCUGGCGAGGCUCAGGCCACCUGUAUUCAGCGAGCUCUGCCUCUUGUUCCUUGCUAGCGUUCGCCUCACUUGAUCAGUGCUCGCUAGAAAAGCGUUCGCGAAGUGUUCCUCGCUAGAACUCGCUUCGCGGCCACUCGCUCGUGGUCAUCACUGCUUUUGCUUGCGGGGUCUUGGCUUCGCGGCCGCGAGCGAAAGCGAGCGGUCACUUGCUUAUCGGUCGCUUGCUCAUAGUUUCGCUCGCUGCCAUUUCUUUCGCGGCCACGCGCUCUUCGCGGUCGCUUGCUUUUGCGCCG
RNAcentral lists this long non-coding RNA (525 nucleotides) under Rosa chinensis. RNAcentral's name for it is "sRNA RchiOBHm_Chr5g0065971". The record is from RNAcentral. Lineage: Eukaryota; Viridiplantae; Streptophyta; Magnoliopsida; Rosales; Rosaceae.